This 159-nucleotide small RNA is filed under the name bovine gut metagenome. RNAcentral describes it as "Clostridiales-1 RNA". It matches the Rfam family "Clostridiales-1 RNA". The record is from RNAcentral.
AUGGUCAAAAGGUCUAAACCCACAUGAGCUUGCUCAUAGGUGGGCGAAAGACCUUGAAGCCCGCCCCGAUAUUCGCAUAUCGUAGGAUGAUAAUCCCACGAUAUGCGAAUAUCGGGGCGAAUUGUGGGAGUGCGUAGCACGGAACAAUUCGUAGGCAUC